CCCUCCGGGUAAGGGUGACCUGCGGAAGGAUCAUUA
This 36-nucleotide ribosomal RNA is filed under the name Pichia kudriavzevii. RNAcentral describes it as "partial 18S ribosomal RNA". Lineage: Eukaryota; Fungi; Ascomycota; Pichiomycetes; Pichiales; Pichiaceae. The record is from RNAcentral.